GUGCCCGCUUCAGCAGCACAUAUAGUAAAACUGGACCAAUAUAAAGAGGAUCAGAACAGUGUCUGCCAGAGGGUAACAUGGAAAUUCUCAAAGUGCUCCAGAUUUAU
RNAcentral lists this small nuclear RNA (107 nucleotides) under Mus caroli (Ryukyu mouse). RNAcentral's name for it is "snRNA (MGP_CAROLIEiJ_G0035025.1)". The record is from RNAcentral. Lineage: Eukaryota; Metazoa; Chordata; Mammalia; Rodentia; Muridae.